RNAcentral lists this ribosomal RNA (273 nucleotides) under uncultured bacterium. Its description in RNAcentral is "partial 16S ribosomal RNA". It matches the Rfam family "Bacterial small subunit ribosomal RNA", at positions 524 to 791 of the family's 1533-position model. The record is from RNAcentral.
UACGAAGGGGGCUAGCGUUGUUCGGAAUUACUGGGCGUAAAGCGCACGUAGGCGGAUCGAUCAGUCAGGGGUGAAAUCCCAGAGCUCAACUCUGGAACUGCCUUUGAUACUGUCGAUCUAGAGUAUGGAAGAGGUGAGUGGAAUUCCGAGUGUAGAGGUGAAAUUCGUAGAUAUUCGCAAGAACACCAGUGGCGAAGGCGGCUCACUGGCCCGAUACUGACGACUGAGGCACGGAAAGCGAUGGGGAGCAAACAGGGAUUAAGAAACCCGUGU